This is a long non-coding RNA of Osmia bicornis bicornis, 549 nucleotides long. RefSeq lists it as uncharacterized. NCBI's taxonomy places the organism in Eukaryota, Metazoa, Arthropoda, Insecta, Hymenoptera, Megachilidae. The transcript has 3 exons. The record is from RefSeq and is a predicted model, not a curated record.
CAACGCAACAUCAAACCAGUGAAAGGAUUAAGUGUUCAAACAAGGAUUAAAUUAGUUCCGCAGAAGUUCUCUAAGUUAGUGCCCAUACUCAGAGUGCUCUCAAAAGAGUUGCACCUGCUCUCACUAUCCUAGAGUGCUCUCAAGAAAGUCGCGCCUGUCACUUUAACUCUACUCUUCCUGAUUGCACUCAAGCAAGUUGCACCGGAUUUCAACUUUAGCCAGAGUGCGCUCAAGAAAGCCGCACCGGCAUCUCAACUUAAUAUUCUACUUGCAAUGAAGGUGAAUCAAGAUAAACGCGGUCGUAAAGCCACUCGUCGUGGUGGUACCAAACAACGAGCUAGGACAGUUAUUAAACGGCAGAUUCAACUGGUAUGAAAGGAGCUAGAGACUCAAUUUCCACCAUCCGGUCCGUCAAGUCAUCCGGGUGAACCGUGUUAUUCACCUGUGUCGGAGGCUUCGACCAUUUGCCUGGGUCCUCGCUCGCCGCAAUUUAUCGACUUAACCGAAGAACCAGACCAGAAUCGGUUAACGUAGCAGAUACCAACGAGA